This 685-nucleotide ribosomal RNA is filed under the name uncultured bacterium. RNAcentral describes it as "bacterial SSU rRNA". It matches the Rfam family "Bacterial small subunit ribosomal RNA", at positions 64 to 742 of the family's 1533-position model. The record is from RNAcentral.
GAACGGUAACAGGGAGAAGCUUGCUUUUCCGCUGACGAGUGGCGCACGGGUGCGUAACGCGUAUACAAUCUACCUUUUGCUGUGGGAUAGCCCAGGGAAACUUGGAUUAAUACCGCAUAGUAUAUAAGAUCGGCAUCGUUUUUAUAUUAAAGGUUACGGCAAAAGAUGAGUAUGCGUCCUAUUAGCUAGAUGGUGUGGUAACGGCACACCAUGGCGACGAUAGGUAGGGGCCCUGAGAGGGGGAUCCCCCACACUGGUACUGAGACACGGACCAGACUCCUACGGGAGGCAGCAGUGAGGAAUAUUGGGCAAUGGAGGCAACUCUGACCCAGCCAUGCCGCGUGCAGGAAGACUGCCCUAUGGGUUGUAAACUGCUUUUAUACGGGAAGAAACACCGCUACGUGUAGCGGCUUGACGGUACCGUAAGAAUAAGGAUCGGCUAACUCCGUGCCAGCAGCCGCGGUAAUACGGAGGAUCCAAGCGUUAUCCGGAAUCAUUGGGUUUAAAGGGUCCGUAGGUGGAUAAUUAAGUCAGAGGUGAAAUCCUGCAGCUCAACUGUAGAAUUGCCUUUGAUACUGGUUGUCUUGAGUCAUUGUGAAGUAGUUAGAAUAUGUAGUGUAGCGGUGAAAUGCAUAGAUAUUACAUAGAAUACCGAUUGCGAAGGCAGAUUACUAACAAUGUACUG